GUGGGGAAUAUUGGACAAUGGGCGAAAGCCUGAUCCAGCCAUGCCGCGUGUGUGAAGAAGGCCUUUUGGUUGUAAAGCACUUUAAGCGAGGAGGAGGCUACCGAGAUUAAUACUCUUGGAUAGUGGACGUUACUCGCAGAAUAAGCACCGGCUAACUCUGUGCCAGCAGCCGCGGUAAUACAGAGGGUGCAAGCGUUAAUCGGAUUUACUGGGCGUAAAGCGCGAGUAGGUGGCCAAUUAAGUCAAAUGUGAAAUCCCCUAGCUUAACUUGGGAAUUGCAUUCGAUACUGGUUGGCUAGAGUAUGGGAGAGGAUGGUAGAAUUCCAGGUGUAGCGGUGAAAUGCGUAGAGAUCUGGAGGAAUACCGAUGGCGAAGGCAGCCAUCUGGCCUAAUACUGACACUGAGGUGCGAAAGCAUGGGGAGCAAACAGGAUUAGAAACCCUGGUAGUCC
RNAcentral lists this ribosomal RNA (451 nucleotides) under uncultured bacterium. Its description in RNAcentral is "partial 16S ribosomal RNA". It matches the Rfam family "Bacterial small subunit ribosomal RNA", at positions 354 to 796 of the family's 1533-position model. The record is from RNAcentral.